This 9479-nucleotide long non-coding RNA is filed under the name Nicotiana tabacum (common tobacco). Its description in RNAcentral is "long non-coding RNA (NTAB_LNC019561)". The record is from RNAcentral. Lineage: Eukaryota; Viridiplantae; Streptophyta; Magnoliopsida; Solanales; Solanaceae.
UGUCGAACUUAUUUUCACUUCUUCGAACAUAUAAAAUGGGAAAAUUAUAGUAUAAGAAUAAAAGUCAGACUUGACCUGAACACGGACGCUGCCUAUAUUCCUUUCUUCCUUCUUUUUUUUAAAACUUAGGCAAAAUUUAUGUUAUAACGUCAACGAAUACCUUAGUAGAGUACUCCAACACUCAUAUAUCACUCUUUAUGUAAUGGUAUAACGGAGAAGGAUUAGAAAUCAAAGCAAGAAUAACAAGUUAAACCUACCACUUAUACUAAAGAUACAGUGGUUUAGAUUUGGUUUUCAGGACAGUUUUGGUUUGACUUUUUUAAUACAAAGAAAAAUCAAACCAACCCAUUAGUCGUUUUUUUUUGUUUGACUCGAUUUAUCGUUUUGGUGUUUUUGUUGAUUUUCUUUGUACGCCCUUACUUUAACAUAUUAUUUCAAUUUUGGACGUAGAACUUUUGUAUGCUCCAAUAAAUUUUAUUGCUCAUAGAUAUUAGUAAUUCAAAUAAAUACCAAACAAAAAUCAAAUCGAUACUAAUGCUAACAAAAAAAUUCAUUCAACACUAGCAAUAACGAUAGUGUUGAAUAUUUAUUUGUUUGUUUUGCAUUGAUUUAAACAGUGAAAAUGCGUAACUUAAUUUUUUUGUAUUUUAUCAUGUAAUUAAUACUUAUUAGCCAUACUUAUUUUAGCAUGUACUUUUAGAUUAUGUUUAAUUUCAUUAUGGCUCGUUAGCAAUAUAUAUUUUAAGCGAUUUUAUUAUUUUAGUGCUGGCGACAUUAUAUUUUAAUACAAUAUCAUAACUCAACUCAUAAUUUAUGUUAUUUUCUUGAAAAAUACCUUAUAAUCAUUGUAUCUUAUAACGACUAAAGUAACAUUUGUAGCACAAAUUAUAUAUUUUGUGUUAUAAAGACUUUGACGGAAAAAAAAAAACUUAAAAAAUCGAGAAAACUCGAGAUUAUGUUUUAAUUUGAUUUAUAAAUUCAAGAACCCAACAUAAUGGAUUUGAUUUGAUAAAUUAAAAACUCAAAGCAAAACCACUCUACAUCCCUAUUUGGUACCAAUGGCUCAGAUCAAAUGUAAAUAUAUCCUCUGUACAAAUUAAAAUCGACAAAGUUUUAUAAAACAAGGAACUUUGAUCUGGGAUCCUCCUUUCUUUCCACUUAGUUUUACAAAGUGGUCCUCGUGUUUAUUAACUUGAGGGACUACGGAAAUUUGAGGCUUGGCACAUACUUAGGUUCCUAAAAGUCUAAAUAGAGGUAUAUAUACUUUUUUUUUGUUUCCCAUCCGGUGGUCGGUGUUCGGUAUCCGCAUUGGAGCCCGACUAUAUCCGCAUUCGCGUCGUAGGGCUCCAUUCGGGGGGAAGCGCUCCCUACCAAGGAUUUUUCCAUACCUAGGGCUCGAACCCGAAACCUCUGGUUGAGGGAAAGGCAGCCUCAUCCGCUGCACCACAUCCUUUAGUGGUAGAUAUAUUACUAAUUAGUAAAUGCAACACUUGCCUAUAUAUACCUUGCCAUUGCAGAAGUUUGCUCCAUAUCUCAGUAGGCACGACACAUUUGAAAAAUAGGUGGUCUAUAGCUUCUGCCUCAUUGUUGCAAAGAGGGCACAUUAGAUUAUCAGUAAUUCUCCAGUUAGCAAGCCCGUCCCUUGUGAGUAGUCUUCUUUGAGCUGCCAGGGUCAAAAUAAACAGCCACUUAGGAGCACCAAAGUUGUUGCAAACUACUUUCCUCCACGAGACUCGUUGGAACCUCCCUCUCAUUGUCUAAUACAAUUUCCUGAUUGAGAAGGUCUUCCAACCUACCACCUCUGUCAUAGUCAGCCCUGCAUCUUCAAUGUAUAGUCUUGCUUUGACAAUUUUCUGAACCAUCCAAGAUGCCUGCCUUGGUGUAACCUCUAAAAUUGGUCUUUUCUUCCCAUAAUAUUCAUGUACCCAUUGCCCCCAAAGUUUAUCUUUUUUUUUUUACACAAGUUCCAUAAUAAUUUACAUAUAGCUGCCUUAUUCCAUGUAUAGAUGUCAAGCACAUUGAGACCCCCUGCAACUUUGGGGCAACAAACUUUAUCUCAUGCCAAUAGUGCCUUUUUUUGAUACCUCUACACCUCAUGUCCACGGAAAAGACCUGCAUGUAGCUUCUAUCAUCUUCAAAAUUUUCUUUGGCAACACAGAUUUGCGACCAAUAGGUUUGGACAGCAUAAAGCACAUUUUUUAUCAGUUCUAAUCUUCCUGCAUAGGACAAGUAUCUUAUUGUCCAGGAGUUAAUCCUUCCAAGCAUUUUCUCUAGUAGAGGCUGGCACUGGACAAUAGAUAUUCUUUUGCUACUCAAUGGCACCCCCAAGUACUUUAUAGGGAGUUCUCCCUUAGAAAACCCCAACAUAUCUACUAUUUCCUGUUGUGUAUUCUGACCAACACUCCCAAAGUAGAUUGAGCUUUUGCUUAUAUUUGCAACUAAGCCAGAAGCUUUAGAGAAUUCUGUGAAACAAGUAUAAACCAUUUGGACAGACACUUUAUCCCCUCUACAAAAUAAGAGCAAAUCAUCGGCAAAUCCUAAUUGGAUGAUAUUCAAUUUAUCAUAUCUGGGAUGGUAGUUAAAAUCAGGUUUCUAUCGCAAGGUCUUUAACAGUCUUGUUAGAUACUCCAUGGCUAAUACAAAGAGCUAAGGAGAGAUAGGGUCCCCUUGCCUCAAAUCCUUCUUCGCAGCAAAAGGUUUUGUAGGUCUUCCAUUGAUCAUAAUAGAGUAAGAAACUGAACAUAUGCAAGACAAUAUCAACUUCACGAAUCUGUCAGGGAAGUUCAGACUAUGCAAGACUUGUUCUAGGAAUACCCACUCAACAAAGUCGUAAGCUUUUUGCAUAUCUAGCUUGAUCGUGCACCUACUAGGUGACACCCCCUUUCUCCCAUACUCCUUAACUAAUUCAUGACUAAGGAUUAUAUUAUCAGUUAUGACUCUUCCUGGUACAAAGGCAGGUUGACUAUUGUCCACUAGAGUGUCCAUUACCCCAUGUAGUCUUUUAGUUAAAAUUUUAGAGAUGACCUUAUACAAGACAGUACAACAUGAUAUGGGUCUAAACUCCCUAAUAGAAGAUGGAUUUUUUACCUUAGGGAUCAAGGUGACUGUGGUAACACUGAUGGGUUUGUGCAUUUCCGACGUCUCAAAAAUAUGGCAGCAGUGAUAUCAUCACCUACAACUGGCCAGGCCUUCUUGAAGAAAUGAGAAUUAAAGCCAUCACAGCCCGGUGCCUUCAAAGCAUCAAUCCCACUAAGUGCAGUAUACACUUCCUCCUUCGUAACAGGAUCAAGCAGUCGCAAUUGUUGAGCACGACUUAUCACUUUACCCUGUUUCAUGACUCCUAGAUGAAUAGCUGGUAAGUUGGUAGCAGAAGAUCCUAACAACUCCUUAUAAAAACCCAGGAUUUCCUCCUCUAUGUCUUGUUUUGUAUGCACCAUAGUACCCCAACUGUCACUAGAGUUCUAAUCUUGUUCUGACUAAUUAUAUUCCUCAUACAAGCAUAAAAGAAAGCAGUAUCUGAAUCCCCUAGCCUUAGCCAAAGAUUUCUUGACUUUUGCUUGUAAAUGCUCUCUUCAAUGUUCACCUAUUUCUCCAAUUGUUUUCUCAAUUCCCUCUCGGUCUCCACCUCUUCAGGCUGGGGAUUACAGUCCCUCAUUUGCUCUUGUAGUUCCAUUAGUUGGUGCCUUAUAGCCUUCACUCUUUGAUCAACCCCAGAAUACUGUGAGCUAUUCAGCUUUUUUAGUUCACACUUGACCUGCUUUAACUUCAUCCACACCCUAUUCAUAGUAGAUCCAUCACCUUGAAGUUUCCAGGCUUUCUUUAUUACUGACAAAAACUCAGAGUGUUCUGCUAAGUGGUUAAAGAAUUUGAAAGAUUUUACAGUUCUAGGACCAUCCGCAAAUUCAAGACAUAGUGGUGAGUGGUCAGAGAAAUAAGGAUCCAUUACCACCACAUCAAACACUGGCAUUUUACUCAUCCAUUCGGAAUUCAGCACUGCUCUAUCUAUUCUGCUAUACACGUGGUUGUUUGUCCAAGUAAAGCUUCUACCCACUAAUCUCAGCUCAGUCAUUCCUGCAUCUAUCAAGAAAUUGUUGAAAUCCCUGAUCUCUGCCUCUUGGACUGGAUUUCCACUUCUCUUAUCCUCCACAAAUGUGAUGGCAUUGAAAUCACCCAUACAUAUCCAAGGCAACCUUUGAUAUGUUCCUAUAAGUUGUAAAUCAGCCCACAAACCACUUCUAUCCUCUAUAGUAUGAAGCCCACAAAUAGCAGUAAAACUGAACUCCAAUCUAGUGGCAUGAAUAAGUACCUCACCAUGUAUGAAUUGACUGGUCUUGUCCAACACAUUAAAUCUUACCUCAUUAGGAUCCCAUAGAACCCAAAUUCUCCCUCUCUUCCCAGCUUCAUAGUUUGUGUUACAUUGCCAUGUCGGCGACACUUUAUUUAUUAUACUACUGCAUACUUUUCCUGAACUCUAUGUUCAGUAACGGCUGUCAUCCCUACUUUAUUAUCUCUAAGAAACAUCUUGAUCUCUUUAUGUUUAUACAUCUUAUUCAACCCCCUUACAGUCCAGGCUACCAGCUUCAUAGUGAUUUAUCAGGUGGUUGUGCACUUCCCACUUCUUCUCUAAAACUACAUUGUCCCAUGUCCUUCUCAAUAUCCUCUAGUGUAUUGGUUUUAUGACCCCCAGUUUCAUCCAGAGGGUGCCAUGUCGGCGACACUUUCUUUAUUAUACUACUGGCAUACUUUUCCUGAACUUUAUGUUCAGUAAUGGCUAUCAUCCCUACUUUAUUAUCUCUAAGAAACAUCUUGAUCUCUUUAUGUUUAUACAUCUUAUUCAACCCCCUUACAGUCCAGGCUACCAGCUUCAUAGUGAUUUAUCAGGUGGUUGCGCACUUCCCACUUCUUCUCUAAAACUACAUUGUCACAUGUCCUUCUCAAUAUCCGCUAGUGUAUUGGUUUUAUGACCCCCAGUUUCAUCCAGAGAGUUAAACCCAUUCAUUACGAUCACUGAUCUGCCUUUCACCUCCUGCCAAUCACUUUCUUGUAACACAGUAUUUGAUAUCUUCCCAAGUUCAGCAGAAUUUUGCACCACUACUAUCUUGUCUUUCUCCACAAUGUUAAUCUGAUUAUCAUUCCUCUAAUCUUCUUUUGACCUCCAUUCCUGCUUUUGUCUAUUUUGCCUAGGUUGUUGAUAUUGUUGUUGUUGUUUACCAAGUUGUUGUUGCUUUACAGGUUGCUGCUUUGUUGCCUGGCAGUUAUGUCCCAAUUGUAAGCACUUACCGCAGUAUAUUGGUACCCAAUCAUACUCUAUACGCUGCUCAAACAACCUCCCAUUUGGAUCUUGCACCUUCAACCUCUUUGGGAGGGGUCUUGUAAUAUCCAUCUCUACUAGGAUUCGAGCAUACGAUAUCUGGUCCACAUUUGUAGUGCAAUCGUCAGCACAUAUAGGAUUUCCUAGUCCACUCCCAAUCUUGCGCAAAGAAUCAAUUCCCCAACAAUUAAGAGUGAGAUAAGGGAGUCUGACCCACAGAGGAAUAGUUUUCAGAACUUCAUCAUUAAAGCUAAAAUCUGCUGGCCAUGCUUUGGUUAUUAUAGGCUUGUUAUUGAUCACGUAUGGCCCCGAGUAAAGCACCUCAUUCCUUUCCUCCAAAUUGUUGAGCCUUAUAACAAAGUAGCCAUCGUUGUGAUAAUAUACCUUAGGUUUUGACACAAAAUUCCAUUGCGCCGCAAUAAAUCUUUCAACCGCGCCUAUGCUUGGUGUAUCUCCGACAACAUAUAGGAUGAUAGCCACCUUCCAUUUUUUAGUCGCAAUUUCCACUUCUGCUUGCUGUAAUUCCACUAUUCGUUCACCAUUUUAUAUUUUGGAGCUACAUAAGUCAAGCCCAUCCCCCUCGCUACAAAUUUGUUCCCAACAACUAAUUUUGCCCAGGAUCCAGUACCUAGUUCUGGUUUCUUUAAAGCUUCAGCAGUUGUAUUGUUGACCUCCUCUACCAUAGAGACUUGGUGUGUCUUGGUUUGUGACUCCUUUCCCAGAUCAAGUUUCUUCUGAGCUCCAACAUCCACAGCACUUUUGACCUCUACAACCCUAGCAUUGGAAUUGUUCAUCCCAGAUGCAGAAUUGAGCUCCUUGUUGGUCGUCUUCGGCCCACUAAGGUUCACCGGGGUCGUAUUCUCAGAACCGCGCACCGGUAAAAGGGGCCACACUUCAGCGGUGUUUCGAGCUUCGUUAACCGGCGUGCUAGCUUUCCCAGUCCCCAAAUUCUUCAAUACAUCGUCAAUUAAUUUCUGAACAUUACCAAUCGCCUUGUUAUUAGUCCUUUUUGGCCUUCCUCUGGCCAUGGUGGAUGAGAUGCGCACGCUUAGAAAGUCACUCUAUCGUACGCCGAGAGAAGAGCGAAGAAGAAAAAUAAAAAGUAUAGUGUUUUUUCUCUUCCAUGCUUUUUAUUCACCGCUAUGUUGUACCAUUAAAUACUUAAAUUUAAAUAUUAAAAAACUAUACAGAAACACAGUAUAAAGAGAUCUUUUCCCUAGCAAAAUAAAAAUAUGGCAACAAAUCUUAGUUAAAGAUUAUCUUUUUCCAAUUAACCAUAGCGAAACAAAAACGGAUUACAAUUGUGGGACCAAAUAAAUAUUUUCUUAAUACAACAUUCAUUUAAGACAAGCAUUUUGGAAUAUAUAUACAGAACCAUGCAUAAUGAAGACAAGCCAGAUAGUGAGUAAAUCACAACCUAUGGGGCAUUUACGUAACGUUGUUGGUUCUAACAAUUUGAUGACCACAUAAUUCUCUUCUUUGUUUUUUCUAAAAUUUUCUAAUAUUGUGGCUUUCACCAUUUGAAUUAGCAAUUCUUGUAGAAUCAGUCUUUUCUUUUUCCGCCCCUUCUCGAAAGAUGUAUAUGUUUUAGUCGAUUUUAAAAAUAAUAACCAACAUAUAUACAUCGUAAGCUAGCGUUUUGCCAUAAAUUCCCAAAUUUAUUAUGAAAAAUCUGAUUUUGGUAAAGUUUGGUUUGAAAAUGAAAAUGUGUUUGGACAUCUGUUUUGGGUGAAGUUUGAUUUGAAAAAACAUGAAACAUGACUUAUACCCACAAAUUCUAAAAACUAUCACAAAUACCCAACAGUACUAUUAUCAAUAAUAUUUAUUAUAUUAUCGCAAAUCAUAGUCCUGAACAUAAAUAAAUUUGAUACAAAAUUAUCAUUUUUAUAAUGAACUACAUGAUACACUAUCAUAUGACCGAAAAGACGAAGCAACAUCGUUACAAAAUAAUAAAUGGUGGGCUAUUUUAUAAAAUAUAAAAGUUUGAAGCAAUUUUAAAAAAAUAUAAUAGUGAUAUUUUGGUCCAAAACCAGCUAUUGAGUUGGUUUUGGGAUUUGACCAAAAUAUAGGCAAAAUCUAUGGUCAGACAUGUGUUUGCCAAAUAAAACUCAAGUUUAUUUUAGCAAAAACUAUGGCCAAACGGGUCCUAAAUAUAUAUUCUCUUCGGUUCAAUUUAUGUGAACCCAUUUGACUGGGCACGAAAUUUUUUUAAAAAAUAACUUUUAAACUCGUGGGGUAAAAUGAGGCACAUAUAUUUUGUGUGGCUAUAAAUUAUUACAGGAAAGAGGUCAUUCUUUUUGGCACGGCCUAAAAAGAAAUAAGUUCACAUAAAUUGAAACGAAUAGAGUAUAUAUUAUAUUGUAAAAAAAUAGAUAAUAUUUAUAUAUACUUUUCGGCUAGCGAAUGCAAUUAGUUUUUCCUGACUAAUCAAUCUUGUUCAAUAUUCUCAAAAUCGAUUGGAACAAUACAUUUUAAAGCCAAUAAAUCAAACUAAUUGUGAUGGAAUCCUGAACACGUAUUCAUAAAAUCCAAACCCUGAGACUGCGUGCUAGAAUUGUUCUCUCUUUUCCUUUUAUCUCAAAGUUCUUAACUAUAACGUUGUAUCAAUUUUCCAUAAUUUCCUGAAUAAUUAAAAAAAAAUCAGGAGUGAAGUUACAAUUAUGCUUACAAGUUCGACAAAACUCAUAACUUUGACCACAAGGGAGGAUUUAGGUCCAAAUUAUGGGGUACGAUAAUCCCAUAAUUUUUUUCCCAAACUAGAUAUUUUAUGUAUAUAUUUAUUAAUCUAAUAUUAUUUGUCGGUUCUUAUGCUCUAAAAAGGUAAAUGGCAUACCCGAUAAUUUUUUUCCCAAACUAGAUAUUUUAUAUAUAUAUUUACUAAUCUAAUAUUAUUUGUCGGUUCUUAUGCUCUAAAAAGGUAAAUGGCAUACCCGAUUGAAUGCUAAGUUAUUUACUAGAAAAAAGAGGGAUCAAUUCCCAUUAAUUUUUUUUUUUUUUGUGCGCCCAUAUUUAAAUAAUCUUAAAUCCUCCUUUGUUUUGGCCUAAAAUCUAUUUAAAAAUUCACCUGAUAUUUAUAGAAGAUUUAUCUAAAAUCCAAUAAGCUUUUUUCCUUGAAAAUGUAAAACCCAUAAACUCAAUAUUCUAUCACCACCUAUAAGAAAAGAAAGUUUAUUAUAAUUUCAAAACAAACAUACUAAGUACGUUGUUACAAAACCUCUAUAUCAGAAAUCCAGAAAUAAAUUUACUAAAUUGAAAAGUCAAAAAAAAAAAAAGAAGAAGAAGAAGAAGAAACAACAACAAGAGAGAUUAUUAGAAAUCCUCAAAUAAGGACGUGUUUGGAUAACAGGAAACUGAAAAUUAAGAUCUAGAGUAACAAUUAAGUUUCUCUACCUUGGAGGUGGAGAUAGAGGAAGAGGAGCGAGGUAUCUAGUGAAAAACAGCCGCAAGCUUGGUAAUAUGCGAAGAGGAUUAUACGUCGUCGUUUGACGGAUAAAAUCCUCUAUCGAUUCCACGAACAAAUUCAAGCUCCUUAUCGGCGGCACGUAUAGUGUCAGCGGUGCCGCCGAGAACGCCACCGCGAAGAACACCUCCAACAUUCCUUUAAACCGCCGUCAACAAUCACCGUAAAGUCAACACAGCCGUUGAUUUUGGCACUCCGGCGAAUAAUUUUUUAAAGGGAAUUUUAUGUUUUCUUACGGAGUUUGACUAGAUGGUUCUACAUAUAUAGAUUUUGCAAGGGGGAAGGGGUAAAUGUGUAUUUUUGAGAAAAGAGGGAUAAGCUUUGUAGAAUAUUAUUCAUAGAAAGGUUUACCAUAGGAGAAAUAGAGAUGAAAUUUCCUAAAUGACAACUCAUUGAAUUUGGACAUUUUACAAGGGGAAACAAGAUUUGCACACCCAUCAAAGAAAAUAUGUUUUAUGUUUAAAAUUUCUAGUUAAUGGAAUUAGAGGUUUUGGGUUCGAUUUAAAAAUAUUUUUAAGUUUAAAUUUUUUUGUCAAUGAAAUUAGAGUUUUUGAGUUCGAUCUAAAAAUAUUUUAAGUUUAAAAUCUCUCGUCAAUGGAGUUAAAGGUUUUGGGUUCAUCUCUGGUGGAGUCGGUCAUGUUCGAAAAUAAGAUGAGAAUUUAUUUUUUUUGAAAUGUAUGAUCAUUCAUCACUGCGCAAAUACAAUGA